RNAcentral lists this transfer RNA (69 nucleotides) under Taeniamia fucata (orangelined cardinalfish). Its description in RNAcentral is "tRNA-Met". It matches the Rfam family "tRNA". From Rfam's summary of the family: Transfer RNA (tRNA) molecules are approximately 80 nucleotides in length. Their secondary structure includes four short double-helical elements and three loops (D, anti-codon, and T loops). RNAcentral also lists the same sequence under 1 other name. The record is from RNAcentral. Lineage: Eukaryota; Metazoa; Chordata; Actinopteri; Kurtiformes; Apogonidae.
AGUAAAGUCAGCUAAAUAAGCUUUCGGGCCCAUACCCCGAACAUGUUGGUUAGAAUCCCUCCUUUACUA